GUGGAUAGCCCUCCGAAAGGCGGAUUAAUACCGCAUAACAUAAGGUGGCGGCAUCGUCUCUUUAUUAAAGAUUUAUUGGUUGUAGAUGAGGUUGCGGGUCAUUAGCUAGUUGGUUGGGUAACGGCUGACCAAGGCGACGAUGACUAGGGGAGCUGAGAGGCUGGUCCCCCACACGGGCACUGAGAUACGGGCCCGACUCCUACGGGAGGCAGCAGUAGGGAAUAUUGGGCAAUGGGCGAGAGCCUGACCCAGCCAUGCCGCGUGCAGGAAGAAGGCUUUCUGAGUCGUAAACUGCUUUUGACAGGGAAGAAUAAGCUGGUCGUGACCAGUGAUGACGGUACCUGCAGAAUAAGCACCGGCUAACUCCGUGCCAGCAGCCG
RNAcentral lists this ribosomal RNA (380 nucleotides) under Craspedostauros australis. Its description in RNAcentral is "partial Bacterial small subunit ribosomal RNA". It matches the Rfam family "Bacterial small subunit ribosomal RNA", at positions 138 to 517 of the family's 1533-position model. The record is from RNAcentral. Lineage: Eukaryota; Bacillariophyta; Bacillariophyceae; Mastogloiales; Achnanthaceae.